CCGUCCAACGUCCCUGUCGCGGCCCCUAAGGACCCACCUGAGCGCUGCGAGGGGUCAUCAACCCGCUGGGCUCACCCUAAAGUGAGGCCUCCGCUGACCCCUCUAGGAGGUUCAUAUACAAGAUGACCAGUUGCCGAAUGGAGAGGGAGUUCUCCCGUCCUCCGUGAGGGCUGACCUCAUGCGGGAUAAGCUGCAUCUGAGGCCUCUCGCCCCCCUCGGUCCUGAGCCCUCCUUGUGUCAGCUGGGCUCCUCCAGAAUCAGCUAAGAAAGAUUUGCUGAAUCCAAGGUCAUGAAGAUGUAUGCCUAUGUUUCCUUCUAAGAGCAGGUCUUAGAAGAUCCAUUUUGAGUCAUCUUUUGCAUAUGGUAUGAGGUAAGGGUCUGGCUUCAUUCUUUUCCAGUUGCUAUUCAGCCGUUCCAGCGCCAGUUGUCAAAAGGACCAGCGUUUCCUAAUGAAAUGAU
Hyaena hyaena (striped hyena) is the source of this 459-nucleotide long non-coding RNA. RefSeq lists it as uncharacterized. The record is from RefSeq and is a predicted model, not a curated record. NCBI's taxonomy places the organism in Eukaryota, Metazoa, Chordata, Mammalia, Carnivora, Hyaenidae. The transcript has 3 exons.